Molecule: non-coding RNA, 408 nt
Organism: Dermacentor albipictus
Lineage: Eukaryota; Metazoa; Arthropoda; Arachnida; Ixodida; Ixodidae
Source: RefSeq, a predicted model, not a curated record
CACGUAUUUCCUUCCCAAGCUGUUUAUGUAUUAUAUAUGUUGUAAUUUAAGUUUUUCAACAGAUGGCCUCUUGCAAAGCAUCGUACGGCAGCUACUGUUGUGUAGCGUGGCGUACAAACAACGGAAGAACGCGAAAGAAGCCCGGAACCCACUUUUUUCGAAUCCCACAGGACCACAGGUCGACGGCAUGGGUGACAUACACCCGAAGGGCUGACCUUAUGGAAAAGCCAGUAAAUCUAUUGUACACAUCAUACAAGAUUUGCAGUGACCAUUUUACUGCGCAAGACUUCAUGGACCCAGGGCACACACGGCUCACUAAAAUGGCCGUGCCAACAGUUAACUCAGGUUACGUCCAUCCUGUAACUGAGGGGCAAGCUGGCGAAUGUGUCGGGCAGGAGGACAAGAAAG